This 233-nucleotide unclassified non-coding RNA is filed under the name plant metagenome. Its description in RNAcentral is "partial contains small subunit ribosomal RNA, internal transcribed spacer 1, and 5.8S ribosomal RNA". The record is from RNAcentral.
UCUCCGUUGGUGAACCAGCGGAGGGAUCAUUACCGAGCUAUUCUACUCCCAAACCCCUGUGAACUUAUACCUUUACUGUUGCUUCGGCGGGUUAACGCCCCGGAAGGCCCGCGAGGGCCGCCGGAACCAGGCGCCCGCCGGGGGACCCAAACUCUUGUAUCUUUUUAUAGCAUGUCUGAGUGGAAUCAUAAACAAAUGAAUCAAAACUUUCAACAACGGAUCUCUUGGUUCUG